RNAcentral lists this ribosomal RNA (123 nucleotides) under Danio rerio (zebrafish). Lineage: Eukaryota; Metazoa; Chordata; Actinopteri; Cypriniformes; Danionidae. The record is from RNAcentral.
GUCUAAAAUGUCACCCUGCAGCCUAAGAGCAUAAGAGCAUGCCCCUCACUGAAGCUGAGCAGGGCUGAGCCUGGUCAGUGUCUGGAUGGGAGACCACAUGGGAACGCUAGGCUGCUGUUGGCA